CCCAAGUUUUGGACUCAAUCCGAUAUAGAUUGGUCCUUGAAAUCGGACAAUUCAGGUUCGUACGAAGUUCGUUCUGAAAUAGAGUGGUUGGUGUAUUGUAUAGUUCUAGGGAUUGUAUUUCACUCAAAUCCCACCAAAUGACUCCUCCCACAAUAUUAUGAUGUUCCCCAAGUUUUGGACUCAAUCCGAUAUCGAUCGGUCCACGAAAUUUGACAAUUCAGGUUCGUACCAAGUUCAUUCCGAAAUGGAGUGGUUGGUGUAUUGUAUAGUUCUAGGGAUUGUAUUUCACUCAAAACCCACCAAAUGACUCCUCCCACAAUCUUAUGAUGUUCCCCAAGUUUUGGACUCAAUCCGAUAUCGAUUGGUUCUUGAAGUCGGACAAUUCAGGUUCGUACCAAGUUCGUUGUGAAAUGGAGUGGUUGGUGUAUUGUAUAGUUCCAGGGAUUGUAUUUCACUCAAAACCCACCAAAUGCCUCCUCCCACAAUAUUAUGUUGUUCGCCAAGUUUUGGACUCAAUCCGAUAUCGAUUGGUCCUUGAAUUCAGACAAUUCAGGUUCGUAUGAAGUUCGUUCUGAAAUGGGGUGGUUGGUGUAUUGUACAGUUCUAGAGAUUGGAUUUCACUCAAAACCGACCAAAGGACUCCUCCCACAAUAUUAUGAUGUUCCCCAAGUUUUGGACUCAAUGCGAUAUCGAUUAGUCCUUGUAAUCGGCCAAUUCAGGUUCGUACGAAGUUCAUUAUGAAAUGGGGUGGUUGGUGUAUUGUUUAGUUCUAGAGAUUGGAUUUCACACAAAACCCACCAAAUGACUCCUCCCACAAAAUUAUGAUGUUCCCCAAGUUUUGGACUCAAUCCGAUAUAGAUUGAUCCUUGAAAUCGGACAAUUCAGGUUCGUACGAAGUUCCUUUUGAAAUGGAGUGGCCGGUGUAUUGUAUAGUUCUAGAGAUUGGAUUUCACUCAAAACCCAACAAAUGACUCCUCCCACAAUAUUAUGAUGUUCCCUUAGUUUUGGACUCAAUCCGAUAUCGAUCAGUCCACGAAAUUUGACAAUUCAGGUUCGUACGAAGUUCGUUCUGAAGUGGGGUGGUUGGUGUAUUGUAUAGUUCUAGAGAUUGGAUUUCACUCAAAACCCACCAAAUGACUCCUCCCACAAUAUUAUGAUGUUCCCCAAGUUUUGGACUCAAUCCGAUAUCGAUCGGUUAACGAAAUUUGACAAUUCGGGUUCGUACGAAGUUCGUUCUGAAGUGGGGUGGUUGGUGUGUUGUAUAGUUCUAGAGAUUGUAUUUCACUCAAAACCCACCAAAUGACUCCUCCUACAAUGUUAUGGUGUUCCCCAAGUUUUGGACUCAAUCCGAUAUCGAUCGGUCCACGAAAUUUGACAAUUCUGGUUCGUACGAAGUUCGUUCCGAAAUGGUGUGGUUGGUGUAUUGUAUAGUUCUAGAGAUUGGAUUUCACUCAAAACCCACCAAAUGACUCCUCCCACAAUAUUAUGAUGUUCCCCAAGUUUUGGACUCAAUCCGAUAUCGAUCGGUCCACGAAACUUGACAAUUCGGGUUCGUACGAAGUUCGUUCUGAAAUCGAGUGGUUGGUGUAUUGUGUAGUUCUAGGGAUUGUGUUUCACUCAAAACCCACCAAAUGACUCCUCCAACAAUAUUAAGAUGUUCCCCAAGUUUUGGACUCAAUCCGAUAUCGAUCGGUCCACGAAAUUUGACAAUUCAGGUUCGUACGAAGUUCGUUCCGAAAUGGUGUGGUUGGUGUAUUGUAUAGUUCAAGGGAUUGUAUUUCACUAAAAACCCACCAAAUGCCUCCUCCCACAAUAUUAUGUUGUUCCCCAAGUUUUGGACUCAAUCCAAUAUCGAUUGGUCCUUGAAAUCAGACAAUUCAGGUUCGUUUGAAGUUCGUUCCGAAAUUGGGUGGUACUUGUAUUGUAUAGUUCUAGAGAUUGGAUUUCACUCAAAAACCACCAAAUGCCUCCUCCCACAAUAUUAUGAUGUUCCCCAAGUUUUGGACUCAAUCCGAUAUCGAUCGGUCCACGAAAGUUGACAAUUCAGGUUCGUACCAAGUUCGUUCUGAAACGGUGUGGUUGGUGUAUUGUAUAGUUCUAGGGAUUGUAUUUCACUCAAAACCCACCAAAUGCCUACUCCCAGAAUAUUAUGAUGUUCCCCAAGUUUUGGACUCAAUCCGAUAUCGAUCGGUCCACGAAAUUUGACAAUUCAGUUUCGUACCAAGUUCGUUCUGAAAUGGAGUGGUUGGUGUAUUGUAUAGUUCUAGGGAUUGUAUUUUACUCAAAACCCACCAAAUGACUCCUCCAACAAUAUUAUGAUGUUCCCCAAAUUUUGGACUCAAUCCGAUAUCGAUUGGUGCUUGAAAUCGGACAAUUCAGGUUCGUAUGAAGUUCGUUCUGAAAUGGGGUGGUUGGUGUGUUGUAGAGUUCUAGAGAUUGGAUUUCACUCAAAACCCCCCAAAUGACUCCUCCCACAAUAUUAUGAUGCUUCCUAAGUUUUGGACUCAAUCCGAUAUCGAUCGGUCCACGAAAUUUGACAAUUCAGGUUCGUACGAAGUUUGUUCUGAAAUGGAGGGGUUGGUGUAUUGUAUAGUUCUAGGGAUUGUAUUUCAUUCAAAACCCGCCAAAUGCCUCCUCCCACAGUAUUAUGUUGUUCCCCAAGUUUUGGACUCAAUCCGAUAUCGAUUGGUCCUUGAAAUUGGACAAUUCAGGUUCGUUUAAAGUUCGUUCCGAAGUGGGGUGGUUGGUGUAUUGUAUAGUUCUAGAGAUUGGACUUCACUCAAAACCCACCAAAUGACUUCUCCCACAAUAUUAUGAUGUUUCCCAAGUUUUGGACUCAAUCCGAUGUCGAUUGGUCCUUGAAAUCGAACAAUUCAGGUUGGUAUGAAGUUCGUUCUGAAAUGGGGUGGUUGGUGUAUUGUAUAGUUCUAGAGAUUGGAUUUCACUCAAAACCCACCAAAUGACUCCUCCCACAAUAUUACGAUGUUGCCCAAGUUUUGGACUCAAUCCGAUAUCGAUCGGUCCACGAAAUUUGACAAUUCAGGUUCGUACCAAGUUCAUUCUGAAAUGGAGUGGUUGGUGUAUUGUAUAGUUCUAGGGACUGUAUUUCACUCAAAACCCACCAAAUGCCUCUUCCCACAAUAUUAUGUUGUUCUCCAAGUUUUGGACUCAAUCCGAUAUCGAUCAGUCCACGAAAUUUGACAAUUCUGGUUCGUACGAAGUUCGUUCUGAAAUGGAGUGGUUGGUGUAUUGUAUAGUUCUAGGGAUUGUAUUUCACUCAAAACACACCAAAUGACUCCUCCCACAAUAUUAUGAUGUUCCCCAAGUUUUGGACUCAAUCCGAUAUCGAUUGGUCAAUGAAAUCGGGCAAUUCUAGUUCAUACGAAGUUCGUUCUGAAAUGGAGUAGUUGGUGUAUUGUAUAGUUCUAGGGAUCAGAUUUCACUCAAAACCCACCAAAUGCCUCCUCCCACAAUAUUAUGUUGUUCCCCAAGCUUUGGACUCAAUCCGAUAUCGAUCUGCCCACGAAAUUUGACAAUUCAGGUUCGUACGAAGUUCGUUCUGAAAUGGAGUGGUUGGUGUAUUGUAUAGUUAUAGAGAUUGUAUUUUACUAAAAACCCACCAAAUGCCUCCUCCCACAGUGGUAUGCUGUUUCCCAAGUUCAGGACUCAAUCCGAUAUCGAUUGUCAAUGAAAUCGGGCUAUUCAAGUUCCUACGAAGUUCGUUCUGAAAUGGAGUGAUUUCUGUAUUGUAUAGUUCUAGGGAUUGGAUUUCACUCAAAACCCCCCAAAUGACUCCUCCCACAAUAUUAUGAUGUUCCCCAAGUUUUGGACUCAAUCUGAUAUCGAUUGGUCCUUGAAAUCGGAGAAUUCAGGUUCGUUUGAAGUUCGUUCUGAAAUGGGGUGGUUGGUGUAUUGUAUAGUUGUAGAGAUUGGAUUUCACUCAAAACCCACCAAAUGACUCCUCCCACAAUGUUAUGAUGUUCCCCAAGUUUUGGACUCAAUCUGAUAUCGAUUGGUCCUUGAAAUCGGACAAUUCAGGUUCGUUUGAAGUUCGUUCUGAAAUGGGGUGGUUGGUGUAUUGUAUAGUUCUAGAGAUUGGAUUUCACUCAAAACCCACCAAAUGACUCCUCCCACAAUAUUAUGAUGUUCCCCAAGUUUUGGACUCAAUCCGAUAUCGAUCAGUCCACGAAAUUUGACAGUUCAGGUUCGUACCAAGUUCGUUCUGAAAUGGAGUGGUUGGUGUAUUGUAUAGUUCUAGGUACUGUAUUUCACUCAAAACCCACCAAAUGCCUCUUCCCACAAUAUUAUGUUGUUCUCCAAGUUUUGGACUCAAUCCGAUAUCGAUCAGUGCACGAAAUUUGACAAUUCUGGUUCGUACGAAGUUCGUUCUGAAAUGGAGUGGUUGGUGUAUUGUAUAGUUCUAGGGAUUGUAUUUCACUCAAAACACACCAAAUGACUCCUCCCACAAUAUUAUGAUGUUCCCCAAGUUUUGGACUCAAUCCGAUAUUGAUUGGUCAAUGAAAUCGGGCAAUUCUAGUUCAUACGAAGUUCGUUCUGAAAUGGAGUAGUUGGUGUAUUGUAUAGUUCUAGGGAUCGGAUUUCACUCAAAACCCACCAAAUGCCUCCUCCCACAAUAUUAUGUUGUUCCCCAAGCUUUGGACUCAAUCCGAUAUCGAUCUGCCCACGAAAUUUGACAAUUCAGGUUCGUACGAAGUUCGUUCUGAAAUGGAGUGGUUGGUGUAUUGUAUAGUUCUAGGGAUUGUAUUUUACUCAAAACCCACCAAAUGCCUCCUCCCACAAUGGUAUGCUGUUUCCCAAGUUCAGGACUCAAUCCGAUAUCGAUUGUCAAUGAAAUCGGGCUAUUCAAGUUCAUACGAAGUUCGUUCUGAAAUGGAGUGAUUGGUGUAUUAUAUAGUUCUAGGGAUUGGAUUUCACUCAAAACCCCCCAAAUGACUCCUCCCACAAUAUUAUGAUGUUCCCCAAGUUUUGGACUCAAUCUGAUAUCGAUUGGUUCUUGAAUCGGACAAUUCAGGUUCGUAUGAAGUUCGUUCUGAAAUGGGGUGGUUGGUGUAUUGUAUAGUUCUACAGAUUGGAUUUCACUCAAAACCCACCAAAUGACUCCUCCCACAAGAUUAUGAUGUUCCCCAAGUUUUGGACUCAAUCCGAUAUCGAUCGGUGCACGAAAUUUGACAAUUCAGGUUCAUACCAAGUUCGUUCUGAAAUGGUGUGGUUGGUGUAUUGUAUAGUUCUAGGGAUUGUAUUUGAGUCAAAACCCACCAAAUUCCUCCUCCCACAAUAUUAUGUUGUUCCCCAAGUUUUGGUCUCAAUCCGAUAUCGAUCUGCCCACGAAAUUUGACAAUUCAGAUUCGUACGAAGUUCGUUCUGAAAUGGAGUGGUUGGUGUAUUGCAUAGUUCUAGAGAUUGGAUUUCACUCAAAACCCACCAAAUGACUCCUCCCACAAUAUUAUGGUGUUCCCUAAGUUUUUGACUCAAUCUGAUAUCGAUUGAUCCUUGAAAUCGGACUAUUCAGGUUCGUACGAAGUUCGUUCUGAAAUAGUGUGGUUGGUGUAUUGUAUAGUUCUAGAGAUUGGAUUUCACUCAAAACCCACCAAAUGACUCCUCCCACAAUAUUGUGUUGUUCCCCAGGUUUUGGACUCAAUCCGAUAUCGAUUGGUCCUUGAAAUCGGACAAUUCAGGUUCGUACGAAGUUCGUUUUGAAAUGGGGUGGUUGGUGUAUUGUAUAGUUCUAGAGAUUGGAUUUCACUCAAAACCCACCAAAUGACUCCUCCCACAAUAUUAUGAUGUUCCCCCGGUUUUGGACUCAGUCCGAUACCGAUUGGUCCUUGAAAUCGGACAACUCAGGUUCGUACGAUGUUCGUUCAUAAAUGGGGUGGUUGGUGUAUUGUAUAGUUCUAGGGAUUUGAUUUCACUCAAAACCCACCAAAUGACUCCUCCCACAAUAUUAUGAUGUUCCCCAAGUCUAGGCAUUCUAGAAGAUGUUUUGGUGAAAGUGGAAGAGCUAAUUUUGCCAGCAGAUUUCUUGCUGUUGGAAAUAGAAGAAGCACCAAUUCGUGACAAUCAGUUGCCACUCAUUGUAGGUCGGCCAUUCAUGGCAACUGCCGGUGCUAUUAUUGAUGUGAAGAAGGGGACAUUGACCAUGAAUGUGUUUGAUGAGACAAUAGCAUUCAAAGUGUUUGAAGCCUCCAAGUUCCCAAGUGAUGAGCAUGAAGUUUUCCAUCUUGAUGCAAUUGAUACUAUGGUGAAAGAAGCACUGCCAAUGAGUUAUUUGGAGCCCAUUGAAGCAUGCAUCACACAAAGCAUAAGGAAAGAAGAAGUGGACAGCUUAGAGGCUGUGAUCUCUCCUUUACUUCUUGAGCUUGUUUGCAGCAUGGAUAGCUACAUAGGAAUUGGAAAAAGGUAUGCAAACCAAUUUGAAUCAUUACCCCCACCUACUAAUAAGGUUUUACCUUCUAUUGUGCAGGCACCAGAGUUGGAAUUAAAGCAAUUGCCAAAACACCUUAAAUAUGCUUAUUUAGGUGAAAAUGAGACUCUACCUGUUAUCAUUGCCUCACAUCUCGGACCAAAUGAUGAAAAGAAGCUUUUGAGAGUUCUAAAAGAGCACAAAACUGCAAUCGGGUGGAGCAUUGCAUCAAAGGCAUAAGCCCAACACUGUGCAUGCACAAGAUAUUAUUGGAAGACAAUGCAAUGCCUAAGAGGGAUGCCCAAAGACGUCUCAAUCCGAACACGAAGGAGGUGGUAAGGAAAGAGGUAAUUAAGCUUUUAAAUGUUGGUAUUAUUUACCCUAUUUCUGACAGUAAAUGGGUGAGCCCAGUGCAAGUUGUCCCCAAGAAGUCAGGUAUCACAGUGGUGAAGAAUGAAGCAAACGAACUUGUACCUACACGGAUGACCACGGGCUGGAGAGUUUGCAUUGAUUAUAGGAAGCUCAACACAGCGACAAGCAAAGAUCACUUUCCUCUUCCAUUCAUUGAUCAAAUGCUUGAGAGAUUAGCUGGGCAUAGCCACUAUUGCUUCCUUGAUGGAUAUUCAGGCUACAACCAAAUCGCCAUAGCCCCAGAGGAUCAAGAGAAGACGACCUUCACAUGUCCCUUUGGCACUUUCGCUUAUAGGAGGAUGUCUUUUGGUCUCUGUAACGCCCCAGCCACUUUUCAAAGGUGCAUGAUGAGCAUUUUCUCCGACAUGGUAGAAAGGUUCAUUGAGGUAUUCAUGGAUGACUUCUCUGUCUUUGGUGAUUCUUUUGAUCAAUGCUUGCAUAACUUAUCCAAGGUGUUGGCUAGAUGUGAACAUACUAACCUUGUGCUUAAUUGGAAAAAAUGUCAUUUUAUGGUUAACCAAGGCAUAGUUCUUGGUCAUGUCAUCUCUAGUAAAGGAAUUGAGGUAGAUAAAGCUAAGAUUGAUUUGAUUGCCUCUAUGCCCUCACCUACUUCUGUCAAAGAAGUACGUUCUUUCCUUGGCCAUGCAGGUUUCUAUAGGCGUUUCAUUAAGGAUUUUUCUAAGAUUACAAGGCCUAUGUGCAAUCUCCUUGCCAAGGACAUGGAUUUUGUGUUUGAUCAAGACUGUGAGAAUGCUUUCAAUGCUUUGAAGAAGAUGCUCACAACUGCCCCAAUCAUUAUACCACCGGAUUGGAGCUUGCCUUUUGAAUUGAUGUGUGAUGCCUCAGAUUAUGCUGUUGGAGCUGUUUUGGGACAGCGAGUUGAUAAGAAGCCACAUGCCAUCUACUAUGCUAGUAGAACCCUCAACGAUGCCCAACUCAACUAUUCCACCACAGAGAAGGAGUUGUUAGCUGUCAUAUUUGCUUUAGAGAAGUUCAGAUCAUAUUUGAUUACUAACAAGGUUAUUGUUUACACUGAUCAUGCAGCAUUGAAAUACUUGUUAGCUAAGAAGGAUGCCAAACCACAACUCAUUAGAUGGAUUCUCUUAUUGCAAGAGUUUGACUUGGAGAUAAAAGAUAAGAAAGGAAGUGAGAAUGUUGUGGCUGAUCACUUGAGUAGAUUGGUGCAUGUAUCUAACGAAGAGGAGGAUUCAUUGCCAUUGCGUGAAAGCUUCCCUGAUGAGCAACUCUUCUCCAUUUGUGCUUUCAAUUCUCUCAAUCCAUUGCCUUGGUUUGCUGAUAUUGCUAACUAUUUGUGCACUAAUGAACUCCCUACAGGGUUAUCUACGUUCCAACGUAACAAGCUUAGGAAGCAAGCAAGAUACUACUUUUGGGAUGAUCCAUAUCUAUUCAAGCAUUGUCCAGACCAAGUAAUUCGAAGGUGUGUGCCUGAAGGUGAUUUUAAGAGCAUUCUGGAGUUUUGUCACUCCCACGCAUGCGGAGGCCAUUUUGGACCAAAGAAGACUGCCAGCAAAGUGCUACAAUCAGGUUUCUUUUGGCCUACCCUUUUUAAGGAUGCUUAUGUUUUUUGUGCUUCAUGUGAUAGAUGCCAACGGAUGGGUAAUUUACAUGCUAGAAAUCAGAUGCCUCUCACCAAUAUCUUAAUCAUUGAUAUAUUUGAUGUUUGGGGAAUUGAUUUCAUGGGCCCUUUUCCUACCUCUUAUGGAUUUGAAUAUAUAUUAGUUGCUGUCGAUUAUGUUUCUAAAUGGGUGGAAGCCAUUGCCACUAGAACUAAUGAUGCUAAGGUUGUGAUCGGUUUUCUCAAAGGAAAUAUUUUUACAAGGUUUGGCACACCUAGAGCAAUCAUUAGUGAUGGUGGCUCCCACUUUGUUAACCAAGCUUUUGCAGCACUCUUGACGAAAUAUGGAAUCACGCAUAAAGUGGCAACACCCUAUCAUCCUCAAACUAGUGGGCAGGUUGAGAUAAGCAAUAGGGAGAUUAAGCACAUACUUGAAAAGACAGUGAACACCACAAGGAAGGAUUGGUCCAUGUGUUUGGAUGAUGCAUUGUGGGCUUAUAGGACUGCUUAUAAGACCCCUAUAGGUAUGUCUCCGUAUAGACUUGUUUUUGGUAAACCUUGUCACUUACCAGUGGAGCUUGAGCACAGGGCUUAUUGGGCAAUCAAGGCCCUGAAGUUUGAUAUGAAAGCUGCUGGUGAGAAGAGGAGGCUUCAACUCAAUGAGCUGGAGGAGUUGCGACAUGAAGCAUAUGAGAAUGCGAAGCUUUACAAGGAGAAAACAAAGCAAUAUCACGACAAGAAAAUUCUUAGGAAGACGUUUGAGAAAGGGCAGAAGGUUCUCUUAUUCAAUUCACGCCUUAAACCCAGGUAAGCUUCAUUCUCGGUGGAUUGGCACUUUUGUUAUUACUAAUGUGUUUAAUCAUAGCGCAGUGGAGAUUCAAAACAUUAAGGAUGGCAGCACCUUCAAGGUGAAUGGACAUCGGUUGAAACCUUACUUCGAUGCCAAUAUUGAGUCUCAAGCACUCAAGGAGCCUCCACCACUCUCUUAUAGCUCACCAGAGUUUGGAUGUCCGGCUGAAGAUGUGAAACUUUGCGCUUCUUGGGAGGCAACCCAAGGUGAUGAGGAGAAGAUAGAAUAUGUGAGGAAGCUUGGCUGCAUCCUAAUCGCUUCAAAGGGGAGUUUUUCUGAAAUCUAACCUUUGGUUAUGUCUUUCCUUUGUCUUCUUUCCUUUCAUUUAUGUGGCAUUGCUUUUUCUUACACUCUAAACAUUGAGGACAAUGUUUCAUUUAAGUUUGGGGGGAAGGAUUUAGUUAUGUUCUUUCAAAUUGUCAAAUUUUAUAAUUUUGAGUGUGUCUAAUGGCCAAAAACGCAGGAUUUUGUGUCUUGUUUCGUUAUCCUUCCAAACACCUAUGAUAAGACUUGGAUCUAAUACUAAUAUGGUUUCUCAUAAAUUGAUAGUCAUUGUUUAAGGACUUUGUGUGGUUCUGAGUUAACUCUGUCUUGCUUGCCAUCCUUGCACUUAUUGAGCACUUUGUCGAGUUAGUCCAAUUUCUUGCUACUUGGAGACGAUAUGCAAUUCUACUUAUCUCAGAUCUUGGUUUCGUACUCUAGAACUUAUUUGAAUAUCUCUUGAGACAUUUUGUUGCCAUACAAUGCUUAGGAAGUGAUUUAGGCCAUGUUUGAACCGUUUGAGCUUUUCUAACAAUCCCUCUACAUGUAUUCAUCCCUAGUCAACCCAUUUGAGCCUACGUUAAGCCUUUCUUUGUGUAAACCAUUCUUACCAUAAUGAACCUCUGUUUUCUUAUUCUUACUUAUUCUAUGAGCAAUUAAAGUUAUCUUCAAAAGAGAGUUAUAAAGAAUGCAAGGUUUUUGGAGCAAAAGUGAAUCAUUAGUGCCAUAACCCAAGUGUUGAAAAGAAAUAAAUUUGGGGGUAUUGGUAACUAAUCAAAAGAGGUAAUGAAGUGUGACCAAUGUAGUCACGGCCCUAUGGUGUUAUAAAAGAGAAGAUCAUGGUGAUCUAGGGUAAAGAGCCACAAAAUUAGGCCAAAGAAACAGAUAUGAAGGUGCUGAAAUUAUGUUGAAAAUGUGCUCAUGUAUGUGUUCCUUGCUUGUUACAAAGUUCAGUAAUCUCUUAUGCUCUUACCUGUGCUUUAAUUGUGCUCAAAAUAUUGUAUAUCUCAUAUCCCUUCUUUCAUUCAACCACUGCCCUAAACCUCAUUACUACCCUUGUAAAGUCCUUUUGAUCCUUGGUAUUGUAUGGUAUUACUGUGGAGAGCUGAUUUGAUAAUGAGCUUAUGGGGUUCGGAAUUCUUGAUUUUGCUCUAAGUGUGUGCGCAUGUACUUAUCUGAGUUGCAGGUGUUGUACUGAUUCGGAAUUCACACACUACACUUAAGGAUGUCAUUGUGAGCUUUGGUUACCCUUGAAUCAUAUGUGGAACUCAGAUUGUGAUUGUUGUGUUUCUUUGGGACCAUAUACGUCGGUGAUUCUUUGAGGAUAUUGUUUGGAAGGCUAGUUGCUUAUUUCCUAUUUCCUAAGUUGUAGUUUUAUUUUGUUUUGCUCGAGGACUAGCAAAAUCUAAGUUUGGGGGUAUUUGAUAAGCUCUUAAUUUCACACAUUUGCAUGCCUUCUUUCCUUAGUAAUUUUUCUUAGCUUCUCUUUAUUUUGAGUCUCUUACCUAUGUUUGUGUGCUUUGUAGGUUAAGACAGCAAGGGGAUGACAUUUGAUACAAUUCAUGCAUGUUAAGGGCUGAGUGGCACAAGAGGAAUAUGAGCUUAAAGACAAAACCAAUUUGUGCCACACUCCUUGUCAGUCCAGUUUCGUAGGUCAUCUUACAGGCCUCAUUUCAGUAACUUACACAGGUCGAAUGAGGAGACAUCCUUGAUAGAAGUUGUUCCAAUGGGUGUCUAUUAUAACAUAUCCACAUUUCAGCCCAAUUGGAUAAAUCUGGAGCCCUCAACAAGUCAAAGACUGAACCAAGUUGACAGAAAUGUCAUGUUGGCUGCCAUCACAUUUAAUGUGGCUACAUCCCUAGAGCCAUGUGCUACACAUGGGCAGCCAUACAUAGGAGUCAAAUCAGCUCAGAAGCUCAGAAAGAUGAACAAAAGUCAAGCUUUCCAUAAAGAAACCAUACCAAAGCAUGUAUUUGUCAGCUGGAGCAGUUGGCAAGUAUGGGCAGCUGGAGCAGUUGGGAGCAGCUAAGAGAGGUGUACUUCACCAGCCAAAGGGGAGCACGAAAUUUCACUCUAUAAAUAGAGAGUUGCACACUCAUUCAAGGGGGAGAGAGCAGACACACACAUUCACUUCAUCCAUUACUCUCAUACACACAUUCAGAUUCACCACAAAGAGAGAAGAGAGCUUGGAGCUGUCCUGGGAACUUCCUUGCUGCCAUCAUCUAGUUCUUCUCCUCUCUUUAUCCUAUCUAUGUAUUUCUUAUUUUCUGUAUUCAUAGUUAUGUCUAACUAAUCCAUUUAGUUAGGGCUUAGGAUGAAGCCCUAGUCAUGAAUAUUAAAUGUUAUGGAUGAUUUUAUGGUUAAUUGAUUUCCUUGCUUUUAUUAUCAAGUUGUUAAUCUCCAGUUUAUUAUGUGCUUGAUGUAUGUUUUCUUGGAGUAGCUAACUAGGAUUUUAUGCAUCUAGCACAGGUUGGGAAGGGGUUUAGAUUCACCAAUUCUACUCUCCUUUCACAAGCAACACUUGAAUGGCCUAAGAAUCAUUCAAGGCGUUAAUAACCAUAGGUUGACUAGGACAGAUACCAUGUUCUUGGACUUGUGUGAUUAUCAUAUUCUCAAGGAGCUUAAUGACUCUUGUAUGCUUUAUUCUAAGUAGAUACCAUGCUUAGGUUGCAUAUUAGAGAUCACGUGUUGUGUAGAUACCAUGCAUAAUCACAUGCCUUAGGAGAAUCAUGCAUCCUGCACCUAGAUACCAUAGGCUUGUAUGCGAUGAUCUAUUGUUGAUGAAGCUUGAGUCAAUUUCUAUGCAUUCAUAACUUGGAUAGGAAAACUAGUGGUGGAUUCCAAGGCUCUAACACCUUUCAAUCAUUGUUUCGCAACUUGUUGAUUGCUGCCAGUGUUUACUUUCGAGCACUUUCAUUUCACUUUCUUGUUUUCAUUUCAACAACAAAACCCCCCAUUUCGAGUGCGUGUGUGGUGCUAGGAUUCUGUCCUAGACCUUGAGUAAUUAGCAAGAGGCAUUGUUGAAUUCGACCUUGCCUUUAGCUAGUUAGUCAGUUUCUUCGUUCAUUGUUUUUCUAGCAUUCUAAGUAAUUUAACUUGGAACCAAGUUACCAUUCUCCGUGGGAUCGACCUCGUAUUUACAUAAGCUAUACUAUAAAUGGUUCGUGCACUUGCGAGAAUUAAAGUUGCUGUUUUUAAUAACUCAUUUUAGUUGUUAAGAACUGGCGCAACAUUGGAUUUCACUAAAAACCCACCAAAUGACUCUUCCCACAAUAUUAUGAUGUUCCCCAAGUUUUGGACUCAAUCCGAUAUCGAUUGGUCCUUGAAAUCGGACAAAUCAGGUUCGUAUGAAGUUCGUUCUGAAAUGGGGUGGUUGGUGUAUUGUAUAGUUGUAGAGAUUGGAUUUCACUCAAAACCCAACAAAUGACUCCUCCCGCAAUAUUAUGACGUUCCCCAAGUUUUGGACUCAAUCCGAUAUCGAUUGGUCCUUGAAAUCGGACAAUUCAGGUUCGUACGAAGUUCAUUCUGAAAUGGUGUGGUUGGGGUAUUGUAUAGUUCUAGGGAUUGUAUUUCACUCAGAACCCACCAAAUGACUCCUGCCACAAUAUUAUGAUGUGCCCCAAGUUUUGGACUCAAUCCGAUAUCGAUUGGUCCUUGAAAUCGGACAAUUCAGGUUCGUACGAAGUUCGUUCUGAAAUGGUGUGGUUGGUGUAUUGUAUUGUUCUAGGGAUUCGAUUUCACUCAAAACCAUCAAAUGACAACCCCCACAAUAUUAUGAUGUUCCCCAAGUUUUGGACUCAAUCCGAUAUCGAUUGGUCCUUGAAAUCGGACAAUUCAGGUUCGUACGAAGUUCGUUCUGAAAUGGGGUGGUUGGUGUAUUGUAUAAUUCUAAGGAUUGGAUUUCACUCAAAACCCACCAAUGACUCCUCCCACAAUAUUAUGAUGUUCCCCAAGUUUUAGAUUCAAUCCGAUACCGAUCGGUCCACGAAAUUUGACAAUUCAGGUUCGUACAAAGUUCGUUCUGAAAUGGAGUGGUUGGUGUAUUGUAUUGUUCUAGGGAUUGUAUUUCACUCAAAACCCACCAAAUGACUCCUCCCACAAUAUUAUGAUAUUCCCCAAGUUUUGCACUCAAUCCGAUAUCGAUUGGUCCUUGAGAUCGGACAAUUCAGGUUCGUACGAAGUUCGUUCUGAAAUGGGGUGGUUGGUGUAUUGUAUAGUUCUAGAGAUUGGAUUUCACUCAAAACCCAGCAAAUGACCCCUCCCACAAUAUUAUGAUGUUCCCCAAGUUUUGGACUCAAUCCGAUAUCGAUUGGUCCUUACAAUCAGACAAUUCAGGUUCGUACGAAGUUCGUUCAUAAAUGGCGUGGUUGGUGUAUUGUAUAGUUCUAGGGAUUGGAUUUCACUCAAAACCCAUCAAAUGACAGCUGCCACAAUAUUAUGAUGUUCCCCAAGUUUUGGACUCAAUCCGAUAUCGAUCGGUCCACGAAAUUUGACAAUUCAGGUUCGUACGAAGUUCGUUCUGAAAUGGAGUCGUUCGUGUAUUGUAUAGUUCGAGAGAUUGGAUUUCACUCAAAACCCACCAAAUGACUCCUCCCACAAUAUUAUGAUGUUCCCCAGGUUUUGGACUCAAUCUGAUAUCGAUCGGUCCGCGAAAUUUGACAAUUCAGGUUCGUAUGAAGUUCGUUCUGAAAUGGAGUGGUUGGUGUAUUGUGUAGUUCUAGGGAUUGUAUAUCACUCAAAACCCACCAAAUCACUCCUCCCACAAUAUAAUGAUGUUCCCCAAGUUUCGGACUCAAUCUGAUAUCGAUUGGUCCUUGAAAUCGGACAAUUCAGGUUCGUAUGAAGUUCGUUCUGAAAUGGGGUGGUUGGUGUAUUGUAUAGUUCUAGAGAAUGGAUUUCCCUCAAAACCCAGCAAAUGACUCCUCCCACAAUAUUAUGAUGUUCCCCAAGUUUUGGACUCAAUCCGAUAUCGAUUGGUCCUUGAAAUCGGACAAUUCAUGUUCGUACAAAGUUCGUUCUGAAAUGCGGUGGUUUGUGUAUUGUAUAGUUCUAGAGAUUGGAUUUCACUCAAAACCCAGCAAAUGACUCCUCCCACAAUCUUAUGAUGUUCCCCAAGUUUUGGACUCAAUCCGAUAUCGAUUGGUGCUUGAAAUCGGACAAUUCAGGUUUGUACGAAGUUCGUUCUGAAAUGGUGUGGUUGGUGUAUAGUUCUAGGGAUUGUAUUUCACUCAAAACCCAUCAAAUGACAGCUCCCACAACAUUAUGAUGUUCCCCAAGUUUUGGACUCAAUCCGAUAUCGAUCGGUCCAAGAAAUUUGACAAUUCAGGUUCGUACGAAGUUCGUUCUGAAAUGGAGUGGUUGGUGUAUUGUAUAGUUCCAGAGAUUGGAUUUCACUCAAAACCCACCAAAUGACUACUCCCACAAUAUUCUGAUGUUCCCCAAGUUUUGGACUCAAUUCGAUAUCGAUUGGUCCUUGAAAUCGGACAAUUCAGGUUUCGUACGAAGUUCGUUCGUAAAUGGGGUGGUUGGUGUAUUGUAUAGUUCUAGUGAUUGGAUUUCACUCGAAUCCCACCAAAUGACUCCUCCCACGAUAUUAUGAUGUUCCCCAGGUUUUGGACUCAAUCCGAUAUCGAUUGGUCCUUGAAAUCGGACAAUUCAGGUUCGUACGAAGUUCGUUCUGAAAUGGGAUGGUUGGUGUAUUCUAUAGUUCUAGAGAUUGGAUUUCGCUCAAAACCCACCAAAUGACUCCUCCCACAAUAUUAUUAUGUUCCCCAAGUUUUAGGCUCAAUCCGAUAUCGAUUGGUCCUUGAAAUCGGACAAUUCAGGUUCGUACGAAGUUCGUUCAUAAAUGGGGUGGUUGGUGUAUUGUAUAGUUCUAGAGAUUGGAUUUCACUCAAAACCCCCCAAAUGACUCCUCCCAUAAUGUUAUGUUGUUCCUCAAGUUUUGGACUCAAUCCGAUAUCGAUUAGUCCUUGAAAUCGGCCAAUUCAGGUUUGUACGAAGUUCGUUCUGAAAUGGGGUGGUAGAUGUAUUGUAUAGUUCAAGAGAUUGGAUUUCACUCAAAACCCACCAAAUGAUUCCUCCGCCAAUAUUAUGAUGUUCCCCAAGUUUUGGACUCAAUCCGAUGUCGAUUGGUCGUUGAAAUCGGACAAAUCAGGUUCGUACGAAGUUCGUUCUGAAAUCGGUUGGUUGGUGUAUUGUAUAGUUCUAGGGAUUGGAUUUCACUCAAAACCCACCAAAUGACUCCUCCCACAAUGUUAUGAUGUUCCCCAAGUUUUGGACUAAAUCCGAUAUCGAUUGGGGCUUGAAAUCGAACAAUUCAGGUUCGUACGAAGUUCGUUCCGAAAUGGUGUGGUUGGUGUAUUGUAUAGUUCUAGGGAUUGUGUUUCACUCAAAACCCACCAAAUGACCCCUCCCACAAUAUUAUGAUGUUCCCCAGGUUUCGGACUCAAUCCGAUAUCGAUUGGUGCUUGAAAUCGGACAAUUCAGGUUCGUACGAAGUUCGUUCUAAAAUGGGGUGGUUGGUGUAUUGUAUAGUUCUAGAGAUUGGAUUUCACUCAAAACCCACCAAAUGACUCCUCCCACAAUAUUAUGAUGUUCCCCUAGUAUUGGACUCAAUCCGAUAUUGAUUGGUCCUUGAAAUCGGACAAUUCAGGUUCGUACGAAGUUCGUUCUGAAAAGGGGUGGUUGGUGCAUUGUAAAGUUCUAGAGAUUGGAUUUCACUCAAAACCCAUCAAAUGACAACUCCCACAAUAUUACGAUGUUCCCCAAGUUUUGGACUCAAUCCGACAUCGAUUGGUGCUUGAAAUCGGACAAUUCAGGUUGGUACCAAGUUCGUUCUGAAAUGGGGUGGUUGGUGUAUUGUAUAGUUCUAGAGAUUGGAUUUCACUCAAAACCCUCCAAAUGACUCCUCCCACAAUAUUAUGAUGUUCCCCUAGUAUUGGACUCAAUCCGAUAUUGAUUGGUCCUUGAAAUCGGACAAUUCAGGUUCGUACGAAGUUCGUUCUGAAAAGGGGUGGUUGGUGCAUUGUAAAGUUCUAGAGAUUGGAUUUCACUCAAAACCCAUCAAAUGACAACUCCCACAAUAUUACGAUGUUCCCCAAGUUUUGGACUCAAUCNNNNNNNNNNNNNNNNNNNNNNNNNNNNNNNNNNNNNNNNNNNNNNNNNNNNNNNNNNNNNNNNNNNNNNNNNNNNNNNNNNNNNNNNNNNNNNNNNNNNNNNNNNNNNNNNNNNNNNNNNNNNNNNNNNNNNNNNNNNNNNNNNNNNNNNNNNNNNNNNNNNNNNNNNNNNNNNNNNNNNNNNNNNNNNNNNNNNNNNNNNNNNNNNNNNNNNNNNNNNNNNNNNNNNNNNNNNNNNNNNNNNNNNNNNNNNNNNNNNNNNNNNNNNNNNNNNNNNNNNNNNNNNNNNNNNNNNNNNNNNNNNNNNNNNNNNNNNNNNNNNNNNNNNNNNNNNNNNNCGAUUGGUCCUUGAAAUCGGACACUUCAGUCGUACGAAGUUCGUUCUGAAAUGGGGUGGUUGUGUAUGUAUCGUUCUACAGAUUGGAUUUCACUCAAAACCCACCAAAUGACUCUCCCACAAUAUUAUGAUCUUCCCCAAGUUUUGGACUCAAUCCGACAUCGAUCGGUCCACGAAAUUUGACAAUUCAGGUUCGUACGAAGUUCGUUCUGAAAUGGAGUGGUUGGUGUAUUGUAUUGUUCUAGGGAUUGUAUUUCACUCCAAACCCACCAAAUGACUCCUCCCACAAUAUUAUGAUGUUCCCCAAGCUUUGGACUCAAUCCGAUAUCGAUUGGUGCUUGAAAUCGGACAAUUUCAGGUUCGUACGAAGUUCGUUCUGAAAUGGUGUGGUUGGUGUAUUGUAUAGUUCUAGAGAUUGGAUUUCACUCAAAACCCG
RNAcentral lists this long non-coding RNA (17410 nucleotides) under Prunus persica (peach). Its description in RNAcentral is "long non-coding RNA (PPER_LNC006179)". The record is from RNAcentral. Lineage: Eukaryota; Viridiplantae; Streptophyta; Magnoliopsida; Rosales; Rosaceae.